This 74-nucleotide transfer RNA is filed under the name Verrucomicrobiota bacterium. RNAcentral's name for it is "Verrucomicrobia bacterium (freshwater metagenome) tRNA-Gln". It matches the Rfam family "tRNA". Rfam says of the family: Transfer RNA (tRNA) molecules are approximately 80 nucleotides in length. Lineage: Bacteria; Pseudomonadati; Verrucomicrobiota. The record is from RNAcentral.
UGUCUCGUGGUGUAACAGCAGCAUACCGGGUUUUGACCCCGAUGGUCUUGGUGCGAAUCCAAGCGAGGCAGCCA